CGUAGGGUGCAAGCGUUAAUCGGGAUUACUGGGCGUAAAGCGUGCGCAGGCGGUUAUGCAAGACAGAUGUGAAAUCCCCGGGCUCAACCUGGGAACUGCAUUUGUGACUGCAUAGCUAGAGUACGGUAGAGGGGGAUGGAAUUCCGCGUGUAGCAGUGAAAUGCGUAGAUAUGCGGAGGAACACCGAUGGCGAAGGCAAUCCCCUGGACCUGUACUGACGCUCAUGCACGAAAGCGUGGGGAGCAAACAGGAUUAGAUACCCUGGUAGUCCACGCCCUAAACGAUGUCAACUGGUUGUUGGGAGGGUUUCUUCUCAGUAACGUAGCUAACGCGUGAAGUUGACCGCCUGGGGAGUACGGCCGCAAGGUUG
This 370-nucleotide ribosomal RNA is filed under the name uncultured organism. RNAcentral describes it as "bacterial SSU rRNA". It matches the Rfam family "Bacterial small subunit ribosomal RNA", at positions 526 to 896 of the family's 1533-position model. The record is from RNAcentral.